CCUGAGAAACCCAAAAGAUCGAAUGGGGAGAUUCAUCGUCAGCUCAUUUUGUAUAUAUGCAAGUUGUGAUAUGGGUUACUACUUGUAGUAUUGCCUGUACACUCUUGUAUAUUUAGUUGCAAGAUGUUGUCGGCGUGCACUUCUCCCCUAGUAGAACGUCGCGACCCGUUAAAUGUUGGUUUACGGCCCAAGUGAUAGCCUUUAAUAUUGAUCUUAUGAUUAAUAUUUAAGAUCCUUGGUGUUUCCCAACUGGCAUUUGGCGGUAUUAACACAAGGUAUUAAGCCGCAAAUUUUAAUUUGCGUCCAUAUCCGUCGCAAGCGAGGUUAAUUUUUAGUAGUACGGACCCAGUGCCGUCGCUAUAAUUAACCAGCUGUUGGUUGUACGGUGUUCUAGGACUGGCUUUUUAUAUAUACCUGUCAGCGAUGCUACUGCUUUGGGUACUUUCAGGACCCGUCUUGAAACACGGACCAAGGAGUCUAACAUGUACGCAAGUCAUUGGGAUUUUUUAAAAAAUUAAACCUAAAGGCGUAAUGAAAGUAAAGGUCGGCCUUGUGUCGAUUGAGGGAGGAUGAGUUGUAUUAAGAUGCAGCUUCGCACUCCCGGGGCGUCUCAUUCUCAAUACGAGAAGAGGCGCACCUAG
This 641-nucleotide ribosomal RNA is filed under the name Telengaia ventralis. Its description in RNAcentral is "eukaryotic LSU rRNA". It matches the Rfam family "Eukaryotic large subunit ribosomal RNA", at positions 386 to 798 of the family's 3401-position model. Lineage: Eukaryota; Metazoa; Arthropoda; Insecta; Hymenoptera; Braconidae. The record is from RNAcentral.